This 1200-nucleotide ribosomal RNA is filed under the name Triticum aestivum (bread wheat). RNAcentral's name for it is "partial small subunit ribosomal RNA". The record is from RNAcentral. Lineage: Eukaryota; Viridiplantae; Streptophyta; Magnoliopsida; Poales; Poaceae.
AUGACCAGCCGCAGCUGCCACCUCUCGCCGGCAGCGGGUCCGCUGGAGGACGACAACCUGCUCUGCGAGAUCCUCCUCCGCCUCCCCCCGGAGCCGUCCUCCCUCCCGCGCGCCUCCCUCGUCUGCAAGCGCUGGCGCUGCCUCGUCUCCGACCCCCGCUUCUGCCGCCGCUUCCGCCGCCACCACCGCCGAAACCCUCCCCUCCUUGGCUUCUUCAACAGAGACAGCGACCUCUUCCCCUUCGUACCUACUCUUGAGCCCCCAAAUCGUGUCUCGCCUGGCCGCUUCUCCUUGCAGCGCCGCGAAGGCGACCGCUUCAUCUCCCUUGGAUGCCGCCAUGGCCUCGUGCUCAUCCACAACGUACGGCCGAACAAGGUCCUGGUGUGGGACCCCGUCACCGGCAAACAGCACCACCUUGCCAUCCCCCCUGAGCUUGUGAUACAUGCGGAGAACACAGCCAUCAAUGGGGCAGUGCUUCAUGCUGCCGGAGACAUCCAACAGUUUCAUGUGGUCUUGACAGUGGUGGACAACGUCGACAAGCAACACAAACGAGCGCUCGCCUGGCUUUACUCUUCCGAGACCAACUUAUGGGGUGAUCUUGUCUCAACACCGGUUCCAUUCAAGGUUUCCACCUCGGAUAUUUUGGGUGAUGAAGAUGAUGUCACCUUGGUGUUUACGGGAAAACCCGCUGUGAUGGUUAGGGAUUCUAUUUACUGGAUUCUUGCUGGGAAUUUUGUUGGAAUUCUUGAGUUUGAUUUGGAGAAGCAAAGCCUAGCUGUGAUACGGGUGCCAGCGCAUAUGCUUGAAAAUGGGUUUUACCAGUUCUGGAUUAUGCGGGCAGAGGGUGGUGGUCUUGGUUUACUGUUGCAGAAAGAUCAGAGCUUCCAGUUAUGGAAGAGGAAGUCUGAUUGUGAUGGUGUUGCUUCAUGGGUUCUUGGAAGAACUAUUGAACUGGACAAGCUACUUUCCCUGAAUGGAAAUGGCAGCCAAGUCAUACUAGGGUUCGCUGAGGAGAAUAAUGUGGUGUUUGUGUGGACACACGGUGUCCUCUUUAUGGUCAAUCUUGAGUCUUUGCAGUUCAAGAAACUUGGUGAAACCAGAACCCUUUCUCACUAUCAUCCAUUCGAAAGUGUCUACACUGCAGAAACAGACAUUGGUGGUGGACAUGAUGGAGUUGAUCUUUCACAGCACAUAAGAUGA